GGGCCCAUAGCUCAACGGUAGAGCAGUGCCCUCUUAAGGCAUUGGUUGGGGGUUCGAAUCCCUCUGGGCUCA
Molecule: transfer RNA, 72 nt
Filed under: Pseudomonadota bacterium
Lineage: Bacteria; Pseudomonadati; Pseudomonadota
Also listed under: 1 other name
Description: tRNA-Lys
Rfam family: tRNA
About the family: Transfer RNA (tRNA) molecules are approximately 80 nucleotides in length. Their secondary structure includes four short double-helical elements and three loops (D, anti-codon, and T loops). Further hydrogen bonds mediate the characteristic L-shaped molecular structure. tRNAs have two regions of fundamental functional importance: the anti-codon, which is responsible for specific mRNA codon recognition, and the 3' end, to which the tRNAs corresponding amino acid is attached (by aminoacyl-tRNA synthetases). tRNAs cope with the degeneracy of the genetic code in two manners: having more than one tRNA (with a specific anti-codon) for a particular amino acid; and 'wobble' base-pairing, i.e. permitting non-standard base-pairing at the 3rd anti-codon position.
Source: RNAcentral